GGCUCAGUGGUGGGUACCAUCCCUGCUAUCAAUUGAAUGUUUACAAGUGCCAGCAGAGAGUGCUCGUUCGACUCGAGCCUGAGCCA
This is a non-coding RNA of Mycena alexandri, 86 nucleotides long. The record is from the annotation of a GenBank genome assembly. NCBI's taxonomy places the organism in Eukaryota, Fungi, Basidiomycota, Agaricomycetes, Agaricales, Mycenaceae.